Gallus gallus (chicken) is the source of this 2050-nucleotide long non-coding RNA. Lineage: Eukaryota; Metazoa; Chordata; Aves; Galliformes; Phasianidae. The record is from Ensembl.
GGUAGUGCAUUAAGUGUAAAACAAACAGACUGCAGAAACAAUUCUUCUGAUUAGAGGCAGAGAGAAAAUAUCACCCUGAGUGGAGGCUGAGAUUCAAGAAGGGGCAGUAAAAUCUGAUUAUUUAUAAGGGUGAUGGAGUGCUCUGGCAACCAGCUGCUGCAGCUUCAUGUCAAGUACAAGAGAAAUUGUUUGGAAAAGCUCCGAGAAAUACAUAGAGAAACUUCUGCUAGCAUGAACACCUGACAACAUUUAAAACACUUCCCCAAAAGACAAAUGGUUAAAGGAAAACUUCACUGUAGUCAUGUAAUAACAAAGCGGAGAUCUAAGAAGAAAAUGUCUGAAGUCAUCCAUAUAGGUGGAGAAAAUGAACUGCAUUCAAAUGGAAAUAUUGGGAGCAAACAAUUUUCUAACAAGCAAGCUGGUUCUAGCUAAUGCAACCGCAGUCAGCUGAGCUCUCCUGAGGACAGAGGGGAAUGAGUCCCCUCAGUGAGGUGGGGCAAAACAAAAAAGUUCAAAUGGAGGUCAUAGCAACUUUUUGAUACCGCAGUGCAGGUUGCAGCCUGUGUUUGAGAAAAGCACAGCUCAGCAUGGGAAAAAGCGAUGCAAAGGCUGCCCUACACUGCUUUGAUCUUCAGCUGACCAAAUGAUCCCAUCUUGCCCUCCAGCAUAUGGAGCUCUCUGGGAUAUGAUCCCGCAGGCUUUCAUAUUGGCUUGGAGGUAAACUGAAAGCAGAUAGCGGUGUUAUCUAAGAGCUUUAAGGACACUUCCUGACUUCCCACAUGGCGUUACAUCCCUCUCUGCUUCAGUGGUGCUCUCCCCCUUGGCUCCAAGGACAUGAUAGCGACAAUGAGGAAAACAAGGACAUAUUAGAUGCCUGAUGAAAAUAUCAACAGUGCAGUAUGGGCGGAGGGGAGAGCAAAAUCUGUAGAAUGUUGUCCCCUUGUAAAGCUGCAGCAAAAACAAGAAGUUCAAAUGAAGGCUACAGAACAAUUUUUUCUCUUCAGGGGGGUAGCUUGGAGGUAGUGUAAGUGGCAAAAUCCUUUCACCUUAAAAUGAGGGUUUGAUUCCAGCCCAACAUGCACCAGGCUGAUGAGCCUGAAGGAGAGGAUGAAAUUUCCUCUAGCUCAUUGAUCCACUGAGAGUUUUACUUGCCAAGGAAUGAGAAACCCUAGUUAUUCUUUCAAAGGGAUCUGUACUAUUAUGCUGUUUUGAUAUGAAACAGGUUGUAAGUAUGCAAGCUAGCCAAACUUUACUACAGAAAUACUCUUGAUUUCUCUCAAAGGAGAUUAUUUUCCUAAAUGAGGCUCCUAUAAUCACUACAGUAUGAGCAGAAACAAUCAAAUUCUGCCCCUUACACAGCACAGAAUGACAUCGCAGUGGUAAAAUACUACAAUGCGAGCAAUUAUUUUUCAUCAUUACAUUGGCUGUAAUACUCUGUACAUUACAAUGAAUUUGCAGAAAAUAUAGUCGAAAAUUUAAGUUCAAAGAUUAACAUCAGAGUACCAUUUGUUUUGUCCCUGCAGUUUUUGAUUAAUGGAGAUUGUUAAUUCAUACUGCCUCUUGGUUGAUAGUGGAGAGGUUCAUUCAUUCCACUGUCUUGAAUUUAAAUUUAGACUGCUUAUAUGUGUUCAUAUUUUCAAUUUAUAUUAUUACAUCCACUUCUGCUCUAUUCUUUGUUCAUUAGGGACCUCUGAACACCAGCUUGAGGAAGUUCUGUUAAAUGAAUCGCAUGCCCUUUGCAAGAGCUCUUUGAAUGACAUGUGUAAUUAUCAACAAUUAACAAGAUGCUAAUUAUACCUUCAAAUUAUAAUCCUACUGAGCAAAAUAAAAAUCCUUUAUGGAAGAAAAAAUUGUUAAAGACACAACACUAUAUUAAACCAAAUGACAAAAAGUUUGGCAACUUCUAAUGGUAUAAAUCAAACAAACUGCUGAACACAUCACACAGCUUGCCAGAAUGGCUCUCUGCCAAUUAGCUCUUCAGUGCAUAUUCAGUAAGGUGGGGGGAGGGUAAUGUAGAAAAAUGAAGGAGGAAGGGAAUUUAACAGACAUG